UCCCGCUUAGCUCAGCUGGUAGAGCGCGUCACUAGUAUCUAUCAAUGACGAGGUCAGUCGUUCAAGUCGGCUAGUGGGAA
RNAcentral lists this transfer RNA (80 nucleotides) under Trametopsis cervina. Its description in RNAcentral is "tRNA-Thr". It matches the Rfam family "tRNA". Rfam says of the family: Transfer RNA (tRNA) molecules are approximately 80 nucleotides in length. Their secondary structure includes four short double-helical elements and three loops (D, anti-codon, and T loops). The record is from RNAcentral. Lineage: Eukaryota; Fungi; Basidiomycota; Agaricomycetes; Polyporales; Irpicaceae.